AGUACGGCGGAACACGAGAAAUUCCGUCGGAAUCCGCGGGGACCAUCCCGCAAGGCUAAAUACUCCCUAGUGACCGAUAGUGAACCAGUACCGUGAGGGAAAGGUGAAAAGCACCCCGGAAGGGGAGUGAAAUAGAUCCUGAAACCGUGUGCCUACAACAAGUCAAAGCUCGUUAAUGAGUGAUGGCGUGCCUUUUGUAGAAUGAACCGGCGAGUUACGAUUGCAUGCGAGGUUAAGUCGAAGAGACGGAGCCGCAGCGAAAGCGAGUCUGAAUAGGGCGAAUGAGUAUGUAGUCGUAGACCCGAAACCAUGUGAUCUACCCAUGUCCAGGUUGAAGGUGCGGUAAAACGCACUGGAGGACCGAACCCACGUACGUUGAAAAGUGCGGGGAUG
This 393-nucleotide ribosomal RNA is filed under the name Enterococcus faecalis. Its description in RNAcentral is "partial 23S ribosomal RNA". It matches the Rfam family "Bacterial large subunit ribosomal RNA", at positions 411 to 806 of the family's 2925-position model. The record is from RNAcentral. Lineage: Bacteria; Bacillati; Bacillota; Bacilli; Lactobacillales; Enterococcaceae.